GCUCCGGCUCUGAGCUGAACGACGAAUAUAUUUCGCCACCUUAUAGCAGCGGUUCUUGUCGCCCAGCCAGCUCGUUCCCCACUGAAAGUAUCUCAGGUGAAGAUGAGAUCGAAGACCACACGGAGGCAGCAGUGUAAGCGGAUAAUGACAGUAAAUUGGCAAAGCCCCUCUUCCCUGGAUCAAAACUGACGGAAGGAGAGAGCAUGCUUCUCAUCAUGGGACACAGUCUGAGACACGACGCCUCGAAGGAGGCGACCGAAAGCCUUCUGAAGCUGGUUAAUGCGCACCUACCUGAAGGAACAGAGUUCCCAACAUCCAAGUAUUCAUUUUUCAAGUAUUUCACCAGCACUGAAUAUAAGAAGAGCAGACAUUUUUACUGUACCAGUUGCAACUCCUACAUUGGGACUCUGGAAGAAGUCGAAACUGUUUUGUGUCAGAAAUGCAAGAGUGAGUUUGACGUAAACAGUCUUGUUAGGACCUCAUCCUAUUUUUUUCUGCCUUGACCUUGCGUCACAGAUAACUGACAUUUUGAAAACCACACAAAUCAAGCUCAGCCCGACAAGAGUAUCAUAUGAUAUGUCGGACAUCACAGACAGUAUCGGCUACAGAAGGCUCCCUAGGGGACCUGAUGAUAUCAGCCUAACCUUCAACACGGAUGGUGUUCCACCCUUCGAAAGCAGCGGCUUUGGGAUCUGGCCUCUUCUACUACAGAUGAAUGAGCUGACGUACAAAGAGCGGGUUCAAAAGCAGAUCCUCGCAGGCCUAUGGUUUGGACCGAAUAAACCUGCUAUGAACACUUUU
Long non-coding RNA from Ornithodoros turicata, 801 nucleotides. RefSeq lists it as uncharacterized. The record is from RefSeq and is a predicted model, not a curated record. The transcript is spliced from 2 exons. NCBI's taxonomy places the organism in Eukaryota, Metazoa, Arthropoda, Arachnida, Ixodida, Argasidae.